This 456-nucleotide ribosomal RNA is filed under the name uncultured bacterium. Its description in RNAcentral is "bacterial SSU rRNA". It matches the Rfam family "Bacterial small subunit ribosomal RNA", at positions 29 to 524 of the family's 1533-position model. The record is from RNAcentral.
AACGAACGCUGGCGGCAUGCCUAACACAUGCAAGUCGAACGAACCCUUCGGGGUUAGUGGCGCACGGGUGCGUAACACGUGGGAAUCUGCCCUUUGCUUCGGAAUAACAGUUAGAAAUGACUGCUAAUACCGGAUGAUGUCGUAAGACCAAAGAUUUAUCGGCAAAGGAUGAGCCCGCGUAGGAUUAGGUAGUUGGUGGGGUAAAAGGCCUACCAAGCCGACGAUCCUUAGCUGGUCUGAGAGGAUGAUCAGCCACACUGGGACUGAGACACGGCCCAGACUCCUACGGGAGGCAGCAGUGGGGAAUAUUGGACAAUGGGCGAAAGCCUGAUCCAGCAAUGCCGCGUGAGUGAUGAAGGCCUUCGGGUUGUAAAGGACUCUUUUACCAGGGAUGAUAAUGACAGUACCUGGAGAAUAAGACUCCGGCGUAACUACCGUGCCAGCAGCCGCGGUAAU